AUUGAACGCUGGCGGCAUGAUUUACACAUGCAAGUCGAACGGUAACAGGCCGCAAGGUGCUGACGAGUGGCGAACGGGUGAGUAAUGCAUCGGAACGUGCCCAGUCGUGGGGGAUAACUACUCGGAAGAGUAGCUAAUACCGCAUACGAUCUAUGGAUGAAAGCGGGGGACCGUAAGGCCUCGCGCGAUUGGAGCGGCCGAUGUCAGAUUAGGUAGUUGGUGGGGUAAAGGCUCACCAAGCCAACGAUCUGUAGCUGGUCUGAGAGGACGACCAGCCACACUGGGACUGAGACACGGCCCAGACUCCUACGGGAGGCAGCAGUGGGGAAUUUUGGACAAUGGGCGCAAGCCUGAUCCAGCAAUGCCGCGUGCAGGAAGAAGGCCUUCGGGUUGUAAACUGCUUUUGUACGGAACGAAACGGCUCUGGUUAAUACCCGGGGCUAAUGACGGUACCGUAAGAAUAAGCACCGGCUAACUACGUG
Molecule: ribosomal RNA, 482 nt
Filed under: uncultured bacterium
Lineage: Bacteria
Description: partial 16S ribosomal RNA
Rfam family: Bacterial small subunit ribosomal RNA
Source: RNAcentral